CCCCUAGUAACUGCGAGUGAAGCGGGAAAAGCUCAAAUUUAAAAUCUGGCAGUCUUUGGCUGUCCGAGUUGUAAUCUAGAGAAGUGUUAUCCGCGCUGGACCGUGUACAAGUCUCCUGGAAUGGAGCGUCAUAGAGGGUGAGAAUCCCGUCUUUGACACGGACUACCAGGGCUUUGUGAUGCGCUCUCAAAGAGUCGAGUUGUUUGGGAAUGCAGCUCAAAAUGGGUGGUAAAUUCCAUCUAAAGCUAAAUAUUGGCGAGAGACCGAUAGCGAACAAGUACCGUGAGGGAAAGAUGAAAAGAACUUUGGAAAGAGAGUUAAACAGUACGUGAAAUUGCUGAAAGGGAAACGCUUGAAGUCAGUCGCGUUGUCCAGGGAUCAACCUUGCUUUUGCUUGGUGCACUUCCUGGUUGACGGGUCAGCAUCAAUUUUGACUAUUGGAAAAAGAUUAAGGGAAUGUGGCAUCUUUGGAUGUGUUAUAGCCCUUGGUUGCAUACAAUGGUUGGGAUUGAGGAACUCAGCACGCCGCAAGGCCGGGUUUUUAACCACGUACGUGCUUAGGAUGCUGGCAUAAUGGCUUUAAUCGACCCGUCUUGAAACACGGACCAAGGAGUCUAACAUGCCUGCGAGUGUUUGGGUGGAAAACCCGAGCGCGCAAUGAAAGUGAAAGUUGAGAUCCCUGUCGUGGGGAGCAUCGACGCCCGGACCAGACCUUUUGUGACGGUUCCGCGGUAGAGCAUGUAUGUUGGGACCCGAAAGAUGGUGAACUAUGCCUGAAUAGGGUGAAGCCAGAGGAAACUCUGGUGGAGGCUCGUAGCGAUUCUGACGUGCA
RNAcentral lists this ribosomal RNA (832 nucleotides) under Dermocybe kula. RNAcentral's name for it is "partial 28S ribosomal RNA". It matches the Rfam family "Eukaryotic large subunit ribosomal RNA", at positions 77 to 895 of the family's 3401-position model. Lineage: Eukaryota; Fungi; Basidiomycota; Agaricomycetes; Agaricales; Cortinariaceae. The record is from RNAcentral.